Molecule: ribosomal RNA, 496 nt
Filed under: uncultured bacterium
Lineage: Bacteria
Description: partial 16S ribosomal RNA
Rfam family: Bacterial small subunit ribosomal RNA
Source: RNAcentral
GAUGAACGCUGGCGGCGUGCCUAAUACAUGCAAGUCGAGCGAACGGACGAGAAGCUUGCUUCUCUGAUGUUAGCGGCGGACGGGUGAGUAACACGUGGAUAACCUACCUAUAAGACUGGGAUAACUUCGGGAAACCGGAGCUAAUACCGGAUGAUAUUUUGAACCGCAUGGUUCAAAAGUGAAAGACGGUCUUGCUGUCACUUAUAGAUGGAUCCGCGCUGCAUUAGCUAGUUGGUAAGGUAACGGCUUACCAAGGCAACGAUGCAUAGCCGACCUGAGAGGGUGAUCGGCCACACUGGAACUGAGACACGGUCCAGACUCCUACGGGAGGCAGCAGUAGGGAAUCUUCCGCAAUGGGCGAAAGCCUGACGUAGCAACGCCGCGUGAGUGAUGAAGGUCUUCGGAUCGUAAAACUCUGUUAUUAGGGAAGAACAUAUGUGUAAGUAACUGUGCACAUCUUGACGGUACCUAAUCAGAAAGCCACGGCUAACUACGU